GGCCGUCACCGGGGGUGCCCCAAAGGGGCUGAGAGCAUACCCUUGGAACCUGAUCCGGGUCAUGCCGGCGUAGGGAAGGUGACGGCCAUCCCCU
Molecule: non-coding RNA, 94 nt
Filed under: Thermus thermophilus
Lineage: Bacteria; Thermotogati; Deinococcota; Deinococci; Thermales; Thermaceae
Also listed under: 2 other names
Description: TPP sequence
Rfam family: TPP riboswitch aptamer (THI element)
About the family: Vitamin B(1) in its active form thiamin pyrophosphate (TPP) is an essential coenzyme that is synthesised by coupling of pyrimidine and thiazole moieties in bacteria. The previously detected thiamin-regulatory element, thi box was extended, resulting in a new, highly conserved RNA secondary structure, the THI element, which is widely distributed in eubacteria and also occurs in some archaea. Analysis of operon structures identified a large number of new candidate thiamin-regulated genes, mostly transporters, in various prokaryotic organisms.
Source: RNAcentral